UACGUAGGGGGCAAGCGUUGUCCGGAUUUAUUGGGCGUAAAGAGCGUGUAGGCGGCCUGGAAGGUCAGCUGUGAAAACUCGAGGCUCAACCUCGAGACGUCGGUUGAAACCACCUGGCUAGAGUCCGGAAGAGGAGAGUGGAAUUCCCGGUGUAGCGGUGAAAUGCGCAGAUAUCGGGAAGAACACCCGUGGCGAAGGCGGCUCUCUGGGACGGUACUGACGCUGAGACGCGAAAGCGUGGGGAGCAAACAGGG
This 254-nucleotide ribosomal RNA is filed under the name uncultured bacterium. RNAcentral describes it as "partial 16S ribosomal RNA". It matches the Rfam family "Bacterial small subunit ribosomal RNA", at positions 524 to 777 of the family's 1533-position model. The record is from RNAcentral.